GGGGAAUAUUGGACAAUGGGCGAAAGCCUGAUCCAGCCAUGCCGCGUGUGUGAAGAAGGUCUUCGGAUUGUAAAGCACUUUAAGUUGGGAGGAAGGGCUGCAAGUUAAUACCUUGUAGUUUUGACGUUACCAACAGAAUAAGCACCGGCUAACUUCGUGCCAGCAGCCGCGGUAAUACGAAGGGUGCAAGCGUUAAUCGGAAUUACUGGGCGUAAAGCGCGCGUAGGUGGUUUGGUAAGAUGGAUGUGAAAUCCCCGGGCUCAACCUGGGAACUGCAUUCGAAACUGGCAGGCUAGAGUCUUGUAGAGGGGGGUAGAAUUCCAGGUGUAGCGGUGAAAUGCGUAGAGAUCUGGAGGAAUACCGGUGGCGAAGGCGGCCCCCUGGACUGAUACUGACACUGAGGUGCGAAAGCGUGGGGAGCAAACA
Molecule: ribosomal RNA, 426 nt
Filed under: uncultured Gammaproteobacteria bacterium
Lineage: Bacteria; Pseudomonadati; Pseudomonadota; Gammaproteobacteria
Description: bacterial SSU rRNA
Rfam family: Bacterial small subunit ribosomal RNA
Source: RNAcentral